ACAGGUUGUUUCGGUAGUGAACAAACUAAUGUGGGCAGCCUGCAUUAGCACAUGUGGGUCUUUUCUGUCAUUAGCUUUCAUUGUUGUGGGAAAAGACUCUCUUGGAUGGCUAUUACUAUAACGGUUUUGGGUACACCAAUCCUUGUUGGGACUCUUGCUAGCAUGUGUUACUUUGUUUUCCGUCAACAUUUUAGAAAAUUUGGUGAUGAUUUUCAAUAGCAGUAGCUUUGAUGCUACUAUUUUGAGUCUUAACCAUCAGAGAAUGCAGUUUUGGUUUUA
This is a long non-coding RNA of Telopea speciosissima, 279 nucleotides long. RefSeq lists it as uncharacterized. NCBI's taxonomy places the organism in Eukaryota, Viridiplantae, Streptophyta, Magnoliopsida, Proteales, Proteaceae. The transcript is spliced from 2 exons. The record is from RefSeq and is a predicted model, not a curated record.